ACCCUUAUCGGUGGAUCACUAGGCUCGUGGAUCGAUGAAGAACGCAGCAAACUGCGAUAAUUAUUGCGAACUGCAGAAGUAUUGAGCACAAAAGUUUUGAACGCAAAUGGCCGCAUUGAGGUCAAACUCUUUGCAACGUCUGGUUCAGGGUCAUUUUCUCUUAUAGCGGAAGCUUUAAUUUCUAUAAUGAUGUUGUUGCUUUAUAUUUUAAAAGGAUUUUUGUUUAUUCAUGUAUUAAAUCUAACUGUGAAAAUCAAACAAUUUUGACCUGAACUCAGUCGAGAGCACCCGCUGAACUUAAGCAUAUCAGUAAGCGGAGGAAAAGAAACUAAAUAGGAUUCCCCAGUAACGGCGAGUGAAAAGGGAAAAGUCCAUCGCUAAAUCGUUUUGCCUCAGGCAUUAUGAGGUGUAGCGUAUAAGUCGUAAACUUUGAUCUUUUGUCUCAAACAAGUCCCUUGAUAGAGGUUCCACAGAAGGUGCAAGUCCUGUACGUUGAGAUAAUUGAUCGAUAUUUGCGUGCUUUAGAGUCGGGUUGUUUGGGAUCGCAGCCCAAAGUCGGUGGUAAACUUCAUCUAAGACUUAAUAUUGCCACGAGACCGAUAGCAAACAAGUACUGUGAAGGAAAGUUGCAAAGCACUUUGAAGAGAGAGUUAAAGAGGACGUGAAACCGGUAAGGUGGAAACGGAUAGAGUCGGCGUAUCAUUCAAUUAUUCAGUUACAUUAUUUUUAUGUUGUGACCUCUGAGCUCCAGAUUGGGACAGAGGGAAUCAGCAUAAUUUUUUGUGGUGCAUUUACUUGAUUGGUGCUUGGGGAUGUUUGAGGCAGAUUUGUUUCCGUCGUUUUGAGGCCAGCUGCUGGUACCCAAACGGUGUUAGCAUUUUUUGUCUUGGGCAUUUGAGUAUGGCUCACGUGUAUUUAUUGGACAGAUCUGAGUGUAAGUUACGGUCGCAUGCGACACGUGCUUUUCAAUUAGUUCGGUCCAGUUAAUGCUCUCGUACUCGUUCCCCAUGUAAAAGCCGGUCAUCUAUCCGACCCGUCUUGAAACACGGACCAAGGAGUUUAUCGUGUGCGCAAGUUUUUGGGUGUUAAAAACUUAAAAGCGAAAUGAAAGUAAAUGACUCUUUAGAGUCUGAUGUGCGAUCUUGUAAAAAAGUGUAGCAUGGCCCCAUUCUAACUGUUUACAGUAGGGUGGCGGAAGAGCGUACGCGGUGAGACCCGAAAGAUGGUGAACUAUUCCUGAGCAGGACGAAGCCAGAGGAAACUCUGGUGGAAGUCCGAAGCGGUUCUGACGUGCAAAUCGAUCGUCUGACUUGGGUAUAGGGGCGAAAGACUAAUCGAACCAUCUAGUAGCUGGUUCCCUCUGAAGUUUCCCCCAGGAUAGCUGGAGCUCAAGAGUAGUUAUACUCGGUAAAGCGAAUGAUUAGAGGACUUGGGAACGAAAUGUUCUUAACCUAUUCUCAAACUCUAAAUGGUUAUGAUGUCAAAGUUGCUUGAUUUUGAACUUUGGCGUUGAAUACGAGCUCCAAGUGGGCCAUUUUUGGUAAGCAGAACUGGCGAUGUGGGAUGAACCAAACGCGGAGUUGCGGUGCCAAAGUAUCCGCUCAUUAGACCCCAUAAAAGGUGUUGGUUGAUACAGACAGCAGGACGGUGGCCAUGGAAGUCGGAAUCCGCUAAGGAGUGUGUAACAACUCACCUGCCGAAUCAACUAGCCCUGAAAAUGGAUGGCGCUGGAGCGGGUCACCUAUACUCUGCCGUCAUAAGCUUGUAUUUUGUUAAAAAGUCUUGCAAUGACGUGUAAGAGGGUCGUAGUGGUUGCGUUGAAGGCUUUGGGUGUGCACCCAGCUGGAGCUUCCACUAGUGCAGAUCUUGGUGGUAGUAGCAAAUAUUCAAGUGAGAUCCUUGAAGACUGAAGUGGAGAAGGGUUCCACGUGAACAGCAGUUGAAUGUGGGUCAGUCGAUCCUAAGGCACCGGCUAAAGCCGUCUAGACACUGCGGGGAGAUGAGAUACUUAACGGUAACUUGUCUACCUGGUUGCCGAAAGGGAAGUGGGUUAAUAUUCCCACACCAGGCAUGGGAGAUUGUGAUCCGCGAGGAUUACUUUGCGCGGUGACGCAAACGAACUCGCAGACCUCGUGUGGAGUCCGGGCCAGAGUUCUCUUUUCUGGUUUAGAGAUCAUGUCCCUGGAAGUGGCUCAGCCUGAGAUAGGGAUACUGGUCUUGUAAAGCGCAGCGGUUCCUGUUGUGUCCCGUGUGCUCCACAUGAGCCCCAGUAUCUGGCCCGAUUCCCAGGACGUCUCCGUUCCAAGUACUAAGGAAGCCCAGCGUUGCUUAACUUGCCAGAUCGGACGGGAUGGCGUGCUUUCAACGCGGUAUGGUCGU
RNAcentral lists this ribosomal RNA (2379 nucleotides) under Meloidogyne arenaria. Its description in RNAcentral is "eukaryotic LSU rRNA". The stretch from base 265 to 2379 matches the Rfam family "Eukaryotic large subunit ribosomal RNA", at positions 1 to 1845 of the family's 3401-position model. The record is from RNAcentral. Lineage: Eukaryota; Metazoa; Nematoda; Chromadorea; Rhabditida; Meloidogynidae.